Molecule: long non-coding RNA, 338 nt
Filed under: Homo sapiens (human)
Lineage: Eukaryota; Metazoa; Chordata; Mammalia; Primates; Hominidae
Description: HSALNT0114264
Source: RNAcentral
CUUACUCUUGCGUGUAAAAUAAGACUUCUACUCUUCAAAAUGCCCUCUGCUUACUUGAUAUGCUAAGGUUGGCAUACCAGGUGGAGACGCAGGAUAACUAGAUGCAGGAUCCAAUCCAGGAUACCAUAUUAUUUCAUGCUACGUCUGAAAGUUCUAAAACAGAGCACAAAGAAGGCUCACUAAGUACGGCCUUACCACCAGCCAUUGUUUUUGGUCAGAGAUGAUGAUGCAUUCUUGGAUGGACUAGAUUUUCAGCAAAGGAGCUGCUUUUCACAUAUGAUAUGUAAGAAAUAAAUACGAAGAUGUCAUAAAAAAUAAACUUUCUACUUGUGUGAAAG